Long non-coding RNA from Asparagus officinalis (garden asparagus), 1706 nucleotides. RefSeq lists it as uncharacterized. NCBI's taxonomy places the organism in Eukaryota, Viridiplantae, Streptophyta, Magnoliopsida, Asparagales, Asparagaceae. The transcript is spliced from 7 exons. The record is from RefSeq and is a predicted model, not a curated record.
GGCUCUAAAUUCCUCUGUUUCUUCUUCGUCCUUCAGCUGCCCUAUAUUUCCCAAAUUAGAAACCCUAAGAUCUCUUCUUCUCCCUUUUCUCGAUUUUGCGAAACCCUAAGGAGAAUUUGAGCUCUGAGUGAUUGCAGAUUCUCAAUGUUAUGAACAAUGUGGCUUGCUGGAGUGAGGAUAAAUUGCGAUAAUGUAUUGAAAAGCCCUAAUUAGGGAAUUGAGUUCCCGUGAAAUUCACGACAACCAACCGGAACUCAAAUUUGAUUUUAAAGGAAAUCGUUUACUUGUGUGUUUCUUGUUGAAAGAUUAUCACUUUGUGAGAAUGGGAAUGAGGAGAACCGUUGUCGAGAACUAGGCUCUCUAAGAUUUUCCCCCCCUAUCUCUAGUGAAUUUGAGCUCUAAUUGAUUACAAAAACGUUAUUAGGUAAUGAGCAUAAACUUCUCAAAUGGGGUUAAAUUUCGAGCAGAAGGGGAUUUGAGUACUUGUGCAUGUUGUUACUUAGCACUUUGGUGUUACGAUGAGCCCUCAAAGCUGCCUCUAAAUUCAGGUAUAACCUUGUUCAUGGGGGUUCCUGAAGAAAUCUAUGAUAGCAAUUCAAUUGGAGAGGGCCACAUUGUAGAUUAAAAAAAAAAAAAAGGGUGUUUCCUGGGAAUUAACUUAAGAAGGUAUACUGAGGAUAUCACAUUCAUAAGUGGCAGGGCCAGAAGGUACGCUAUGCAAGCUAGUUAUUGACUCUCUCAUGACAGGCAGCCACUUAUAAGAGUAUGAAUGAACGGGAAGAGGCAAAGUCACAUACUGUAGUCAUUGCUCUUGAAUAUUUGGUUAGCAUGUUAGCUGAUGUGAUAAGAAUUCAUGAUGAGUUCCUUCUCCCAGAAAGCUUAUCAAACUACUGCAGAGAUGCAUGCUCAGAGGGCGCAAUGUGGAGUAGCCUCAGAUGAAGUUAUCAUCUAAAACAGCAUGCUGUCCACAUCUCCCAGCAUCAUUAUAUUUGUUCUCAUCAUUGCAGUUGAGAUUUAUUAUAACUGAAACAAAAAUUGCAUAAGGAGAAAGCAGAAUGCAGCUAGUGCUCCACUAUCGAGUUUUGAAGUUGAUUAUUAAGCUGGCUCAGUAAUUAAUUUGCACUGUUAUUUUAGCCAUUCAUACUAGUUUCUUAUCGAUUGUAUUUCGUAUACUGAUUGUAUUGAUUUAAAAGUGAUAGUAAUCACUGAUCACAGGGUCAUAUUCUUCUUCUUUAUAAGUGAUUUUUUUUAUUGGGGAAUUUUUUAUGGAGGGACCCUCUGUAGGAUUUAUCUUGUCCACUUACACAGCUACACCCAAUGGAACCCAACUGUUAUUUUGUCAGAGAAACUGUACCAAACUGAAGCUGCAGCAGACUCUGCACGUGAGCGUGCUUCUAGUCAAGAGGAAGGGGCCGACACUCCAAUUACAAUGACUCAGCAGCAGCAUCAACAGCAUGAGCAUGAGUAUGAGCAUGCAUAAUGAAUGGAGGAUUUUUUUUUGCUUUAUUUAUUUCUCCUCAACCACCUUUUCUUCUUUAUAUUUUGCUUUCCUCUGUCGCUUUUCUUGAUGAGCAGAGAAACCUAAUCAAUUGAGCCACAUGAUGACUUGCUCAGAUCAAGCUCCCUAUUUUCUGUUUUUUCUUGUUUGAAGGUCAAGCAUUUUUAGUUCACCUAAGUAGGUGCUACUAGUAAUAUUGUAUAAGUAA